This 469-nucleotide ribosomal RNA is filed under the name uncultured bacterium. Its description in RNAcentral is "bacterial SSU rRNA". It matches the Rfam family "Bacterial small subunit ribosomal RNA", at positions 328 to 793 of the family's 1533-position model. The record is from RNAcentral.
GGCCCAGACUCCUACGGGAGGCAGCAGUGAGGAAUAUUGGUCAAUGGCCGAGAGGCUGAACCAGCCAAGUCGCGUGAGGGAAGACGGCCCUACGGGUUGUAAACCUCUUUUGUCGGGGAGCAAAGCGAGUCACGUGUGACUCAUUGAGAGUACCCGAAGAAAAAGCAUCGGCUAACUCCGUGCCAGCAGCCGCGGUAAUACGGAGGAUGCGAGCGUUAUCCGGAUUUAUUGGGUUUAAAGGGUGCGUAGGCUGUGAGGUAAGUCAGCGGUGAAAUGCCCCCGCUCAACGGGGUGAAGUGCCAUUGAUACUGCCUUGCUGGAAUGCGGGUGCCGUGGGAGGAAUGUGUGGUGUAGCGGUGAAAUGCAUAGAUAUCACACAGAACACCGAUUGCGAAGGCAGCUUACCAAGCUACUUCUGACGUUGAGGCACGAAAGCGUGGGGAGCAAACAGGAUUAGAUACCCUCGUAA